UAUAUAGUGCAGGAACCCUCUCUGUGGAGC
Molecule: non-coding RNA, 30 nt
Filed under: Mus musculus (house mouse)
Lineage: Eukaryota; Metazoa; Chordata; Mammalia; Rodentia; Muridae
Source: RNAcentral